This 822-nucleotide ribosomal RNA is filed under the name Dictyocoela muelleri. Its description in RNAcentral is "SSU rRNA". It matches the Rfam family "Microsporidia small subunit ribosomal RNA", at positions 53 to 824 of the family's 1311-position model. Lineage: Eukaryota; Fungi; Microsporidia. The record is from RNAcentral.
CAUGUGUAAGCGAAGCUAUAUGUGGAGCGGUGAAAGGCUCAGUAACGGGCGAUUUAUUUAAUCUCCUGGGGCGGACAACAUCGGGAAACUGAUGGGAAAACGUCUAAGUUGCAUUAAUUUUAGUGUGACGUAAACGAUUAUCGUGCAGGAGAGUAAGAUGCCAUCCUAUCAGUUAGUAAGUAGGGUAAGGGCCUACUUAGACGAAGACGGGUACGGGGAAUGAGGGUUUGAUUCCGGAGAGGGAGCCUGAGAGAUGGCUACCAGGACCAAGGUCAGCAGCAGGCGCGAAAAUUAUCGAAGCCCGCCUAGGGGCGAUAGUGAGGAGACGUGUAUAACGAAGUACGUGUAAAGAACGUACUAAUAACUGGAGGUCAAGUCUGGUGCCAGCAUCCGCGGUAAUUCCAGCUCCAGGGGUGUCUAUGAUGAUUGCUGCGAUUAAAAAGUCCGUAGUCAAGCUGCCUGACUGACCUGCAAUGUGAUUGAUUAAGGAACGAGCAGGGUUAGGAAAGCAGAGAAUUAGGAGCGACCGAGGGCUAGAGUAUUGAAUGGCGAGAGGUGAAAUUUGAUGACCCAUUCAGGAGUGACAAAGGCGAAGGCACUAGUCAAGGGCGAAUCCGAUGAUCAAGGACGUAGGCUAGAGUUUCGAAAACGAUUAGAGACCGGAGUAGUUCUAGCAGUAAACUAUGCCGACGCCGUGGUAUGGUUUUUUGUGGCUGUAUUGCGGAAGAGAAAUCAAGUAAGGCUUUGGGGAGAGUACGCGCGCAAGCGAUAAAUUUAAAGGAAAUUGACGGAGGAACACCACAAGGAGUGGAGUGUGCGGCU